RNAcentral lists this long non-coding RNA (250 nucleotides) under Capra hircus (goat). RNAcentral describes it as "lncRNA (ENSCHIG00000006100.1)". Lineage: Eukaryota; Metazoa; Chordata; Mammalia; Artiodactyla; Bovidae. The record is from RNAcentral.
GGACAAGUAAGUUUUGGGUGAAGCAGGAACCUCCAAGUCCCUGGUUUAGAGUCUUCUUGGAGUCUUCAAGCACUGAACAAAAGCAGUCAUUGUUUGGAAGAACCAAGAUGAAAGAUGUAUUGCCAGUCCAAUUUGAUGUUUAAGCUUUUGCGAUUUGCUGUGGUGGAGUGAAACAAAGAAGAAAUGGAGACAGAAGCAAACAUGUUUGUGAGUGGUUCAAUGAUGGAUUUCUCAGUGGAGCAGUUUGAAC